Callithrix jacchus (white-tufted-ear marmoset) is the source of this 274-nucleotide unclassified non-coding RNA. It matches the Rfam family "Metazoan signal recognition particle RNA". Rfam says of the family: The signal recognition particle (SRP) is a universally conserved ribonucleoprotein. It is involved in the co-translational targeting of proteins to membranes. Lineage: Eukaryota; Metazoa; Chordata; Mammalia; Primates; Cebidae. The record is from Ensembl.
GCUGGGCAUGGUGGUGCAUGCCUGUAAUCCCAGCUACUCAGGAGGCUGAGGCAGGAGAAUUGCCUGAACCCAGGAGGCGGAGGUUGCGGUGAGCCGAGAUUGCGCCAUUGCACUCCAGCCUGGGUAACAAGAGUGAAACUCUGUCUCAAAAAAAAAAAAAAAAAUUUUUUUUUUAUAUGGAGUCUCAUUCUUGUUGUCCAGGCUAGAGUACAGUGGUACGAUCUCAGCUCACUGCAACCCCUGCCUCUGGGUUCAAGUGAUUCUCCUGCCUCAG